Long non-coding RNA from Neofelis nebulosa (Clouded leopard), 281 nucleotides. RefSeq lists it as uncharacterized. The transcript has 4 exons. The record is from RefSeq and is a predicted model, not a curated record. Lineage: Eukaryota; Metazoa; Chordata; Mammalia; Carnivora; Felidae.
GAACCACAGAUGAACAUAGCCUACUCCCCUGGGGGGAAAACAGGAGCCCUGUAAACUGAGAGGGAAAUGACUUGCCAAGACCCGUUGAGACACAGUGAGAAGACAGCCAUCUGCAAACCAGGAAGAGGUUCCUCACUAGGAACGCAGUCUAUCUGCACCCUAAUCUUGGACUUCAGCCUCCAGAACUGAAAUGAAGAAAAGUAUGAUGCCAUUAGAGGAGACAGCAUGGCCACGCGUAAGAGCUCAAACUCCUGCAGAAUUCCAACCACACAGAGGAGAGG